AUACAAAAUGACUCUCGGCAACGGAUAUCUCGGCUCUUGCAUCGAUGAAGAACGUAGCGAAAUGCGAUACUUGGUGUGAAUUGCAGAAUCCCGUGAACCAUCGAGUCUUUGAACGCAAGUUGCGCCCGAAGCCAUUAGGCCGAGGGCACGCCUGCCUGGGUGUCACAC
This 168-nucleotide ribosomal RNA is filed under the name Isotropis cuneifolia. Its description in RNAcentral is "5.8S ribosomal RNA". It matches the Rfam family "5.8S ribosomal RNA". From Rfam's summary of the family: 5.8S ribosomal RNA (5.8S rRNA) is a component of the large subunit of the eukaryotic ribosome. Lineage: Eukaryota; Viridiplantae; Streptophyta; Magnoliopsida; Fabales; Fabaceae. The record is from RNAcentral.